CGUGGUCGAGAGUCAUUCAUUGGUGCGAUAACAUCAAGGAUCAUAGGCGUACUUUCCAUAAGCGUAAGAACAAAUGAAGUUAUUACAAAAGUAACUAGAAAACCACAUAUAAAUUAGGAAGCAGCAGAAUUAUAAUGACAAAACAUUAUAUUUUCUCUGAUUCACUUACAGCACAGAAAUAAUGCGAAAAUAUAAGAUUCGAAGAGAAAUUCUUCAAAUAUUUUCAUUGCUGCAGUAUUUUUAAACAUUUUCCAGUCAAACUGCAUAUGUUGAAAAACUUGCUUUACCUGUUUUUAAUUGCCACAAUAUGUAGUAUUCGAAAGCAGAAUUUUUGAAAGACAAACAUUCCGAUGCAUAUAUUGUAUUCUUUGAACAACAGGAAGUUGUAUGGAUAGGUACCUUGGUCCGAAGAACUUUUUGGGAUGACUACGCACGGCUGUGUGAAACAUCGCUCAACCACGCGUGCAAAAGUGUACGUUACACGCACGAUGGCGUGUACACAAGGUCGAAUUGGGAUCAUCAACUCGUCGAGAUGCACACGACUCUCCAUUUUGUGUUAGUUAGCACACAACGCAACUAGACGAGCUCUGGCGCAACAUUGUGCUACAUACAUUCCGCAUAUUUCAGCGUGCUUCCUUCCUUCCUUUCAUCCCACCCUUCGAGAGUCUGCAUACCUUCACCGAGGGCAAUCUACCUAGCUGGGUAUGUCUACGUCUACGAAUAGCGGAAGCGUACGCCGAUAUGGUACGUCGAAUCGUACGCAUCGUCAGAUAAAAUGUUCAUCCUUCCAAGUGACUAACAAUAUGUCGAAACGCAGAUUGGUAUCAUCGAGCACACGCAAAAUAUUAUUCCAAACUCGACUUACGAUACACUACAUCAGGGUGUGAGUAGAAGAAUGUGCGCGAUAAAAUAUUAUAUCAUGUGACAGCAAUAAAGUGUUGUGAAUUGUAUAUCUCGUUGAAGAAUUAAACAGUUUGUUGAAUAUAUAAACUAAUGACUUAUAAAAUAUCGCUUCUUUUCGUACAAAAGUCAUUUUUCUCGAUUCUCACGUUUGUUAGUAAUUUUGCACAAGUUUAUUAUCUGUGAAUUUUAAUAACUGAAUAAACGUGUGUGACAAAAAGAAAAGUUCUCAAAAGCAGUUUGCUGACGAUCAACACAAUUUGUGAAAAUAUAUUCAUUAUCCUCAAUUCUUUCCGAGUUUUUGCACAAAAGAUUUAUAUGCGAUCACUGGCAAGCGGCUUUGAGUUCUUUUUCCGUCCUCUGUGACUGCAAAACUGCAAAACAGAAUCUCAUAAUUCACCCGAUAGACCCGAUUUCAACUUGACAAAAUUAAAAGGUACGCAGCUUUUAAAUGCGAACGCGUAGAAACAUCCUGCGGCCCAAAAAUGUUCCAUUAAUGUUGCAUACCGAAAGCAACUGCACGUUCCUCGCAUGUUGAUGUAGAUAUGCAAAUGCAUAUGACAUAAAUCUAUGUUGUGAGAACUCAGACGCUAUAUUUUGAGGCCUUGAAAGUAUUGCACAAUGCCAUCGUUAUACUGUGAUGGUGACU
This is an RNA transcript of Ooceraea biroi (clonal raider ant), 1549 nucleotides long. RefSeq lists it as uncharacterized. NCBI's taxonomy places the organism in Eukaryota, Metazoa, Arthropoda, Insecta, Hymenoptera, Formicidae. The record is from RefSeq and is a predicted model, not a curated record.